RNAcentral lists this ribosomal RNA (379 nucleotides) under uncultured eukaryote. Its description in RNAcentral is "partial 18S ribosomal RNA". It matches the Rfam family "Eukaryotic small subunit ribosomal RNA", at positions 592 to 976 of the family's 1831-position model. The record is from RNAcentral.
CAAUAGCGUAUAUUUAAGUUGUUGCAGUUAAAAAGCUCGUAGUUGGAUUUCGGAUGGGACUUGCCGGUCCGUCGUUUCGAUGUGCACUGGCCAGUCCUAUCUUGUUGUCGGGGACUAGCUCCUGGGCUUCACUGUCCGGGACUAGGAGCUGACGAGGUUACUUUGAGUAAAUUAGAGUGUUCAAAGCAAGCCUACGCUCUGAAUACAUUAGCAUGGAAUAACACAAUAGGACUCUGGCUUAUCUUGUUGGUCUGUGAGACCAGAGUAAUGAUUAAGAGGGACAGUCGGGGGCAUUCGUAUUUCAUUGUCAGAGGUGAAAUUCUUGGAUUUAUGAAAGACGAACUUCUGCGAAAGCAUUUGUCAAGGAUGUUUUCAUUAA